GCUUACACAUGCAGUCGAGCGGGGAGGGUAGCUUGCUACCUGACCUAGCGGCGGACGGGUGAGUAAUGCUUAGGAAUCUGCCUAUUAGUGGGGGACAACAUUCCGAAAGGAAUGCUAAUACCGCAUACGCCCUACGGGGGAAAGCAGGGGAUCUUCGGACCUUGCGCUAAUAGAUGAGCCUAAGUCAGAUUAGCUAGUUGGUGGGGUAAAGGCCUACCAAGGCGACGAUCUGUAGCGGGUCUGAGAGGAUGAUCCGCCACACUGGGACUGAGACACGGCCCAGACUCCCACGGGAGGCAGCAGUGGGGAAUAUUGGACAAUGGGCGAAAGCCUGAUCCAGCCAUGCCGCGUGUGUGAAGAAGGCCUUUUGGUUGUAAAGCACUUUAAGCGAGGAGGAGGCUACCGAGAUUAAUACUCUUGGAUAGUGGACGUUACUCGCAGAAUAAGCACCGGCUAACUCUGUGCCAGCAGCCGCGGUAAUACAGAGGGUGCGAGCGUUAAUCGGAUUUACUGGGCGUAAAGCGUGCGUAGGCGGCUUUUUAAGUCGGAUGUGAAAUCCCUGAGCUUAACUUAGGAAUUGCAUUCGAUACUGGGAAGCUAGAGUAUGGGAGAGGAUGGUAGAAUUCCAGGUGUAGCGGUGAAAUGCGUAGAGAUCUGGAGGAAUACCGAUGGCGAAAGCAGCCAUCUGGCCUAAUACUGACGCUGAGGUACGAAAGCAUGGGGAGCAAACAGGAUUAGAUACCCUGGUAGUCCAUGCCGUAAACGAUGUCUACUAGCCGUUGGGGCCUUUGAGCUUUAGUGGCGCAGCUAACGCGAUAAGUAGACCGCCUGGGGGAGUACGGUCGCAGACUAAAACUCAAUGAAUUUGACGGGGG
Molecule: ribosomal RNA, 875 nt
Filed under: uncultured bacterium
Lineage: Bacteria
Description: bacterial SSU rRNA
Rfam family: Bacterial small subunit ribosomal RNA
Source: RNAcentral